RNAcentral lists this ribosomal RNA (406 nucleotides) under uncultured bacterium. RNAcentral describes it as "partial 16S ribosomal RNA". It matches the Rfam family "Bacterial small subunit ribosomal RNA", at positions 30 to 526 of the family's 1533-position model. The record is from RNAcentral.
AUUGAACGCUGGCGGCAGGCCUAACACAUGCAAGUCGAGCGAGCGGCGGACGGGUGAGUACUGUCUGGGAAACUGCCUGAUGGAGGGGGAUAACUACUGGAAACGGUAGCUAAUACCGCAUACCAUCAGAUGUGCCCAGAUGGGAUUAGCUAGUAGGUGGGGUAACGGCCCACCUAGGCGACGAUCCCUAGCUGGUCUGAGAGGAUGAACAGCCACACUGGAACUGAGACACGGUCCAGACUCCUACGGGAGGCAGCAGUGGGGAAUAUUGCACAAUGGGCGCAAGCCUGAUGGAGCCAUGCCGCGUGUAUGAAGAAGGUCUUCGGGUUGUAAAGUACUUUCAGCAGGGAGGCGUUACCCACAGAAGAAGCACCGGCUAACUCCGUGCCAGCAGCCGCGGUAAUUC